AUUGAACGCUGGCGGCAGGCCUAACACAUGCAAGUCGAACGGUAACAGGAAGACGCUUGCUUCUUUGCUGACGAGUGGCGGACGGGUGAGUAAUGUCUGGGAAACUGCCUGAUGGAGGGGGAUAACUACUGGAAACGGUAGCUAAUACCGCAUAACGUCGCAAGACCAAAGAGGGGGACCUUCGGGCCUCUUGCCAUCGGAUGUGCCCAGAUGGGAUUAGCUAGUAGGUGGGGUAACGGCUCACCUAGGCGACGAUCCCUAGCUGGUCUGAGAGGAUGACCAGCCACACUGGAACUGAGACACGGUCCAGACUCCUACGGGAGGCAGCAGUGGGGAAUAUUGCACAAUGGGCGGAAGCCUGAUGCAGCCAUGCCGCGUGUAUGAAGAAGGCCCUCGGGUUGUAAAGUACUUUCAGCGGGGAGGAAGGGAGUAAAGUUAAUACCUUUGCUCAUUGACGUUACCCGCAGAAGAAGCACCGGCUAACUCCGUG
Molecule: ribosomal RNA, 490 nt
Filed under: uncultured bacterium
Lineage: Bacteria
Description: partial 16S ribosomal RNA
Rfam family: Bacterial small subunit ribosomal RNA
Source: RNAcentral